GAUGAAGAACGCAGCGAAAUGCGAUAAGUAGUGUGAAUUGCAGAAUUCAGUGAAUCAUCGAAUCUUUGAACGCACAUUGCGCCCCUUGGUAUUCCAUGGGGCAUGCCUGUUCGAGCGUCAUUUGUACCUUCAAGCUCUGCUUGGUGUUGGGUGUUUUGUCUCGCCUCUGCGUGUAGACUCGCCUUAAAACAAUUGGCAGCCGGCGUAUUGAUUUCGGAGCGCAGUACAUCUCGCGCUUUGCACUCAUAACGGCGACGUCCAAAAGUACAUUUUUACACUCUUGACCUCGGAUCAGGUAGGGACACCCGCUGAACUUAAGCAUAUCAAUAAGCGGAGGA
RNAcentral lists this unclassified non-coding RNA (338 nucleotides) under soil metagenome. RNAcentral describes it as "partial contains 5.8S ribosomal RNA, internal transcribed spacer 2, and large subunit ribosomal RNA". The stretch from base 1 to 120 matches the Rfam family "5.8S ribosomal RNA", at positions 35 to 154 of the family's 154-position model. The record is from RNAcentral.